UUUUUCAUCUGUGCGUACCCAACUAUGCGUACGAACACACGUUUUCACACCCUACUGGGAGCGUCCGCACAUACCUGUGCGCUCUCAACCCAGCCCUUUUUCCCUCGAUGCAUACGCACGCUCAUGUGCGCACGCACACAUGAUCCUUUUGUGGAAAAAAAAUUUGCUUUCUGGGCGUACGCCCCUGUUUCUGCGUAUGCACACUCAUUGACACCCUUCCUCCCAGGAGCAUACGAACACCCUUUGAUUUUCCUAGUGUGCGUACACCCACUUCUUUGUGCGUACACACAAAUUGCGUUUCGAACGUUAAUCCGAAAGGGAACCCUUAUCGUGCCUUCAAACCCCCUCCAAACUCUUUUCUUUCUUCUUCACUCUUACCCCUGCGCUGUCCCAUUCCAACCCAACCCAGACCACCAACCCCAGCCCUCCAUCCGACACCACCACCAUCACCGCCGGCAAACACAGUCGCCUACCCUCUUUCUCCUUUCUUUUUUCUUUCUUCCCCUUUCUCUCUCUCUAACUUCUUCGGGUCCUUGUACGCUGCCCCUGCGCCAGAGCUCGCUGCACCUUCAGCUUCGGUGAGGUAGCCCCGUCAUGAUCCCAGCGGCAGCGAUCCCUAUGCCGUCAUGACUGCUCCCUGCUCACCCCUGUUUCCCCAUUCUUCUUCCAUCAUCACCGCAGGAUGCGUCGCACAGGCAAGGAGCCGGCUUCAUCAUCGGCUCCCGCCACUGUUUGUCCGAGUGAUUAGCUGGACACCUUUGCAAGCGAAGAAGCCCACAAUCAAGACAAGAAGCUUGAGGAAAAAGGCCUUCCACUAUGAAAGGAAAUUAGAUGUGCCGGAAAGAUAGAGUUCUAUGGAAAUCUACUGAAGGCAGACGCUAAGACUGUCUUUCUCCGUGAGGUACAGCUAGAUACCUCGACUCAUGCGUUUGAGGCCCUCUUGCAGCUUCCUCACAUCACGCCUAGCCGAGAUGCCUAUCCAAAGAUAACGGCAGAUGUGAUCAAGGGCAACAAUUUAUUAGACACCAUCCUGAAGAAGAUUGGCCGACCUGAGGCCCGAUGGGAGUAGAGUUCAGGAGAGAAAGUGGCUCCCAUUAGUAUUGCAUGCUCUGACCUUCAUGCUGAGGCGAGGAUUUGGCAGCAGAUAAUUAUUGAUUAUCUGUUGCCGAGUACUCAUGCCACCCAGAUCAGAGUCUAAGUGGUUGUGCUUCUUUGGGCAAUCUUGGAAGGUAAAAUGAUUUUUGUUUUGCCCCUGAUCAGAGAGUCGAUGUGGAAGGUGAACAAAAACUAGAAGUUUAUCAUUCCCUUCCCAUCACUUGUUAUGAGGUUAGCCAUGGCAUCUGUAGUUUUUGCCAUUCGCGUAAUGGAAGGAGCCGGCACAGAAGAAGAGGAAGACUACGGAGCCAUCAUCAUCUUCAGCACCAUCAGCUCCUGCACCUGUAGCACGGCCUCUUUAUGAGUUAGUUCAGGACCUCAUUCAGGAAGUCCGCCGCAACGAGCACCACAAUGCUUGCCGUUUUCAGUGGAUGAUGGCGAAGCUUGAGGGAUGAGACCUUGGUCCAGCUCUUGCAGAUACACCAGAGCCUGAGCCUGAGCCUGAGCCGACAGUAGAGAAGGAGGCAGUUGAGAAUGUUGUUGCCGAGCUGACCCGAGACUUGAUUGUAUAUCAGCCAGCACCACCAGACAGUAGAGCUUCAUAGAGACAGUCAUCCCCAUCCUCAUAUUUUUUGGCACGGAGGACCGUGCAACGCUUAAGUAUGGGCGAGGAUUCGCAACUUUUUGGGUGUAACAUUCUCUUCCAAAUACUUUGUUAUCCAUUUUAGUUUAGUUCUUAUUAUGCUUUAUGUGGAUGUUUCUAGUACUUUUGACUUUUGCACUAUAUACUCGUAUUUUGGUCGUUUGUAUAUAUUUUGGUUUGCUUCUAGUUUUAUUUCAUUUUGGUUGAUAUAUAUAUGUACAUAUAUAUAUUGCACUUUUAUUUUACUUGGUAUAUAUUGUAUAUAUAGUAGUGUGAUUUGAUGAUCUAAAUA
This is a long non-coding RNA of Arachis ipaensis, 2030 nucleotides long. RefSeq lists it as uncharacterized. The record is from RefSeq and is a predicted model, not a curated record. Lineage: Eukaryota; Viridiplantae; Streptophyta; Magnoliopsida; Fabales; Fabaceae.